RNAcentral lists this ribosomal RNA (859 nucleotides) under Ilyonectria robusta. Its description in RNAcentral is "LSU rRNA". It matches the Rfam family "Eukaryotic large subunit ribosomal RNA", at positions 74 to 965 of the family's 3401-position model. Lineage: Eukaryota; Fungi; Ascomycota; Sordariomycetes; Hypocreales; Nectriaceae. The record is from RNAcentral.
AUUGCCCUAGUAACGGCGAGUGAAGCGGCAACAGCUCAAAUUUGAAAUCUGGCCUUCGGGUCCGAGUUGUAAUUUGUAGAGGAUGCUUUUGGUGAGGUACCUUCCGAGUUCCCUGGAACGGGACGCCAUAGAGGGUGAGAGCCCCGUCUGGUUGGAUACCGAUCCUCUGUAAAGCUCCUUCGACGAGUCGAGUAGUUUGGGAAUGCUGCUCUAAAUGGGAGGUAUAUGUCUUCUAAAGCUAAAUAUUGGCCAGAGACCGAUAGCGCACAAGUAGAGUGAUCGAAAGAUGAAAAGCACUUUGAAAAGAGAGUUAAAAAGUACGUGAAAUUGUUGAAAGGGAAGCGCUCAUGACCAGACUUGGGCUUGGUUGAUCAUCCAGGGUUCUCCCUGGUGCACUCUUCCAGCCCAGGCCAGCAUCAGUUCGCUGUGGGGGAUAAAGGCUUCGGGAAUGUGGCUCCUCCGGGAGUGUUAUAGCCCGCUGCGUAAUACCCUGUGGUGGACUGAGGUUCGCGCAUCUGCAAGGAUGCUGGCGUAAUGGUCAUCAGCGACCCGUCUUGAAACACGGACCAAGGAGUCGUCUUCGUAUGCGAGUGUUCGGGUGUUAAACCCCUACGCGUAAUGAAAGUGAACGCAGGUGAGAGCUUCGGCGCAUCAUCGACCGAUCCUGAUGUUCUCGGAUGGAUUUGAGUAAGAGCAUACGGGGCCGGACCCGAAAGAAGGUGAACUAUGCCUGUAUAGGGUGAAGCCAGAGGAAACUCUGGUGGAGGCUCGCAGCGGUUCUGACGUGCAAAUCGAUCGUCAAAUAUGGGCAUGGGGGCGAAAGACUAAUCGAACCUUCUAGUAGCUGGUUUCCGCCGAA